RNAcentral lists this ribosomal RNA (253 nucleotides) under uncultured bacterium. Its description in RNAcentral is "partial 16S ribosomal RNA". It matches the Rfam family "Bacterial small subunit ribosomal RNA", at positions 524 to 776 of the family's 1533-position model. The record is from RNAcentral.
GACGAACCGUGCAAACGUUAUUCGGAAUCACUGGGCUUAAAGGGUGCGUAGGCGGGCUCGUAAGUCAGGGGUGAAAGCCCACGGCCCAACCGUGGAAGUGCCUCUGAUACUGCGAGCCUCGAGGGGGAUAGGGGCGUGCGGAACUCAGGGUGGAGCGGUGAAAUGCGUAGAUAUCCUGAGGAACACCGGUGGCGAAGGCGGAUCUCUGGGCCGAUACUGACGCUGAGGAGCGAAAGCGUGGGGAGCGAACAGG